GAUGAACGCUGGCGGCGUGCCUAAUACAUGCAAGUCGAACGCAUUGUGGUUGAAAUGAUAUGAAGAACUUGUUCAGAUUUGAUUUUCAACAUUGCAAUGAGUGGCGAACGGGUGAGUAACACGUGGGAAACCUACCUCUUAGCAGGGGAUAACAUUUGGAAACAAAUGCUAAUACCGUAUAAUAAUUAAAACCGCAUGGUUUUAGUUUAAAAGAUGGUCUUGCUAUCACUAAGAGAUGGUCCCGCGGUGUAUUAGUUAGUUGGUGAGGUAAUGGCUCACCAAGACAAUGAUACAUAGCCGAGUUGAGAGACUGACCGGCCACAAUGGGACUGAGACACGGCCCAUACUCCUACGGGAGGCAGCAGUAGGGAAUCUUCCACAAUGGACGAAAGUCUGAUGGAGCAACGCCGCGUGUGUGAUGAAGGGUUUCGGCUCGUAAAACACUGUUAUAAGAGAAGAAUGACAUUGAGAGUAACUGUUCAAUGUGUGACGGU
RNAcentral lists this ribosomal RNA (494 nucleotides) under uncultured bacterium. RNAcentral describes it as "bacterial SSU rRNA". It matches the Rfam family "Bacterial small subunit ribosomal RNA", at positions 28 to 476 of the family's 1533-position model. The record is from RNAcentral.